GCAUUCACCAUAUGAGAAAUACUCAGUUGAAAAAAACAGAUGAGAAAAUCAAAGGAGAAAAAAGAGAACUGAGCAAUACCAACUGAAGAAAAAAGAAUUGAAAAUGCAAUGUAGAAUCAGCACAUGAAAAGAAAAAUGACAUUGGCUCUGAACCUAAACCACUUGUUUUCCCUUUUGUUUGUAUUUACCACACCGUAACCCAAG
This 204-nucleotide long non-coding RNA is filed under the name Lathyrus oleraceus (garden pea). RNAcentral's name for it is "Pisum sativum (pea) long non-coding RNA (PSAT_LNC001945)". Lineage: Eukaryota; Viridiplantae; Streptophyta; Magnoliopsida; Fabales; Fabaceae. The record is from RNAcentral.